This 253-nucleotide ribosomal RNA is filed under the name uncultured bacterium. RNAcentral's name for it is "partial 16S ribosomal RNA". It matches the Rfam family "Bacterial small subunit ribosomal RNA", at positions 524 to 776 of the family's 1533-position model. The record is from RNAcentral.
UACGUAGGCAGCGAGCGUUGUUCGGAAUUACUGGGCGUAAAGAGUGUGUAGGCGGUGCUCUAAGUUCGGUGUGAAAUCUCCCGGCUUAACUGGGAGGGUGCGCCGGAAACUGGAGUGCUCGAGCGUGGGAGAGGAAAGCGGAAUUCCUGGUGUAGCGGUGAAAUGCGUAGAUAUCAGGAGGAACACCUGCGGUGUAGACGGCUUUCUGGACCGUAGCUGACGCUGAGACACGAAAGCGUGGGUAGCAAACAGG